GUACUUCCCUCAACCCCUCACAAACAAUCAAGUUUAUAAUGUGUGCACAACACCUGAAGUGCAAAUAUCUUCCAUCUAGAACACAUCCAUCACUACCCCAAGCAAUCAACUUCCUCUUAAGAUAAGCAAUAGCCACAUCAUUAGAGCUUGCAUUAUCAACAGUGAUUGUAAAAAAUUUCUCAAUUCCCCAAUCUUGCAAACAAGUCUCAAUCAUUUUCCCAAUCGUUUCUCCUUUGUGAUUUGGAACAACACAAAAAUUUAAAAUAUGCUUAUUAAGUGUCCAAUCAGAAUCAAUAAAAUGUGCUGUAAGAGACAUGUAAUUAACAUUUUGAAUGGAAGUCCAAGUGUCAGUUGUGAGGGAAACCCUUUGACGGUGAAAAGAGAAGACAUCUCUCAAUUUCAGUUUUUCAUCUAAAUACAAUUAUAGAUGUCUCUAACAAGAGUCCUCCAAGAUGGAGCCUUAAAUUGAGGACAUGCUACACUACAAAAGAGCUUAAAACCCUGACCUUCAACAAACCUAAAAGGUAAUUCAUCCAAUACAAUCAUCUUAGCACAUGCAAAUCUACACUCUUCUUUACUUCGACCAAUAGCAGCAAGAUUGCUCCCGCCACCCUCUUUUUUAUUCUCAAAAGAAAGGAUUUUUUUGCUUCUUAUCCACCAAUCUACCAGGAUACUUCUUACAUUGAUUUGUCAAAUGAUUACCCAAUGUGCUAGUACUACACUUCUUAGUGCCACAAGCAUAAUCUACCCCACAGUAGUUACAUUUACACCUAACAUCUGGAUCAUCCCUUGAUCCUAAAAUCGUAAAGUGAUCACAAACAUAUGAAGCUAAUCUAUUAGAUUUUCGUUUACCUAGUGUUGACGGUGCACGUGGAGGAAGACUUGCUUGCAAAUCUAUGUCAUUUGAUAGAGAUUCUGUACCAAGUACUUCACAAUCAUCCAUAUCUACAAACAUAUUCCACCAAAAUUAUAAAACAACCAAAUAGAUGUAUUUAAUAAAAAUAACAAUGCAAUACAAUAAAUAAAUAAUACAACACCUAUGGCUGUGUCCAUUUCCUAAGCAUAAUCUAUCACCAAAGGUCGCUCUGAAUGAAGACAAACAGGAUCGUCCUUGAAAUUAUCUGUAGCUGCCAAUCAUGACCAACCAUUGAUGUUGAAGGGAGAAAUGUUUUUAGAAGCUUAGCAGAGGAAUUCAAACGGAAAACAAAAACAUAAACAAAAUAGAUAAACAAAUAAUUCAAUUCCCUAGAUACAAUGAACUACAUUUGUAUUUCAAUAAAUUUGGGACUAAAGCAUGAUUACAUCACUUCUUUUUUCCAAUGAAAUAAAAUAUUUAGCAACCAAAGUAAAUUAUGUUCAAUUAUCCUAUUUAGCAACCAAAGUUUUGAGGCAGAUAGGUCGACCAGAAUUAAUGUUGAUAAGGUUACAGACUUCAAGUUAGUGGAAUAAACUAACAGGGAAAAUUUAAAGAAGAAAACCUAACAAACCCUGCUAAUACAAGACACCACUGGUUACUGAAACUUAGUGGGAAAGAGAAAUUUCAUUUGUCAUAUGAAUGUAUCCCAAUAUUUGCACACUGAGUAGAGAGCCCGCUUUUCUGUGCUUACAUAUAGCAAUUGGAUAAACGACCUAGCUUCACCUCUCAAUCGAAGCAUAAUAAGCCAAUUGAGUAUGGUUUGUAAGCAUGGUGUAUUCAGGUUGAUAUAUACACAACAGGAAUAACAUAGAUGCAGUGUGGUAUUCUGGGAAACUAAUUUCUAUGAUUAAAAUGGACCUCAAGAUAAAAUUGAUAUAAAGGAACAAAGUGGGCCAAAAAAUCAAUUUCUUUAGAAAAAAGUGGACCCUUUCUCAGAAAGAAACCUUGCACUUGAUAUUUUAGAUUCGUGCAGCCGUUUAGCCCCUUCAAACACAUAUACAAACAAUUUGAUAUCCAUAUAAAGCCAUGAACAAAAAUACAGUUUCAUGGAAAAACAUAUCACACCGAGGAAAAACGAUA
This 1996-nucleotide long non-coding RNA is filed under the name Olea europaea subsp. europaea. Lineage: Eukaryota; Viridiplantae; Streptophyta; Magnoliopsida; Lamiales; Oleaceae. The record is from RNAcentral.